This 72-nucleotide transfer RNA is filed under the name Ovis aries (sheep). It matches the Rfam family "tRNA". Rfam says of the family: Transfer RNA (tRNA) molecules are approximately 80 nucleotides in length. Their secondary structure includes four short double-helical elements and three loops (D, anti-codon, and T loops). The record is from Rfam by way of RNAcentral. Lineage: Eukaryota; Metazoa; Chordata; Mammalia; Artiodactyla; Bovidae.
UCCCUAGUGGCUCAGAGGUUAAAGCGUCUGCCUGCAAGGCGGGAGACCCAGGUUCAACCCCUGGGUCGGGAA